This 16607-nucleotide long non-coding RNA is filed under the name Fragaria vesca (wild strawberry). RNAcentral describes it as "long non-coding RNA (FVES_LNC000129)". The record is from RNAcentral. Lineage: Eukaryota; Viridiplantae; Streptophyta; Magnoliopsida; Rosales; Rosaceae.
GUCGCCAAUUUCUUCAACCAGCAAUCCCAUCUCAAAGAAGUGGAAAGUUGCGUUGCCUGAUGGGUCUCUUGACGUUCACUCUGAACCUCGACGCCUCGAGACCCAAGAAAUACCCCAGAUUGUUGAGCAGUACCGUCAGGCUGCCUUGAAUGCCAUUCGAGCAGGUCAGUCUCAUUUCAUCACGUACUGGUUUGUUUUCAUAACGUGUACGCAUCACAUGCUCUGAAACACAAUGGUCCAUUCUUCGAUCAUCGCGCAUACUUGAAGCUUUGAUCUUACGAUGUAUCUUUGAUAAUGGACAGGUUUUGAUGGAGUUGAGAUCCAUUCGGCACAUGGCUACCUCAUCGAUCAAUUCUUGAAAGAUGGGGUCAAUGAUCGAACUGACGAGUACGGUGGCUCGCUUGCAAACCGCUGCAAGUUCUUGAUCCAAACUGUUGAAGCAGUAGUUGAAUCCCUUGGUGCUGAUAGAGUUGCCGUCAGAAUCUCACCAGCUAUUGAUUUCUAUGAUGCUACAGACGCCGACCCGAUUGGCCUAGGCUUGGCAGUGAUUGAAAGACUCAACAAGCUUCAACAUAACAUAGGCUCAAAGCUCGCUUAUCUUCAUGUGACUCGGCCUCGUUUGACUUUGACCGCCAUUAUGACGUCGGUGCCGGCAGAGGUUGAUGAAGACAGAGAAGCUCAAUUUAUGAGGACUUUGCGGGAAGCUUAUGAAGGGGCGUUCAUGGCUAGUGGAGGGUUUACUAGGGAGCUAGGAAUGAAAACUGUGUCUUCUGGUGAUGCCGAUUUAGUGUCAUAUGGCCGGGAUUUUAUCUCAAACCCUGACUUGGUGUUGAGGUUUAGGCUGAAUGCUCCCUUGAACAAGUAUAAUAGGGAGACUUUCUACACCCAUGACCCUGUAGUUGGGUACACAGACUACCCUUUUCUGAACAUAGAAAGUUGAUAGAGGAUGACCACUACCCUGUUUGAUUUUGAUGCUGCUGAAAUUGUUAUUGUUCAAUAAAACCUUCUCAUAUAGAGAAAGUAAAAAUCAAAUAAAGAUCCAAGUAAAUAUUUGUACCUAUGCAAAUAAGUUCUUUGCAGCUCCAGAUUCCCUACAAAUUAGUACCUACAAAUUAGUACCAAUGAAGCCCAAUCAAUAUUUGAAUUAUCAAUUAACCACAUUAUCAAAUACAUAAUGGUUGAUUUAACAAUUACUCUGUUGAAAUGUUUUUAGUUGUUGAAGGAAAAGUCAUAAGAUGGUAUCUGCAUGUCAAGUUUAUAUACUUGGAUAUGACAGAAUCCAAGUAGACAAAUGUUUUAGUAUGGCCGGGAUUUUGUCUCAAACCCUGACUUGGUGUUAAGGUUUAAGCUGAAUGCUCCCUUGAACAAGUAUAUUCAAGAGACUUUCUACACUGAUGAUGACCCUGUAGUUGGGUACACAAACUACCUUUUUCUGAACAAAGAAAGUGUUUGAUUUUGAUGCUGCUCAAUUGUUCUUGUUAGUUCAACUUAAACCCUUCUCAUAUAGAGAAAUUGUGAUUUGAAUUUGAUGAAAUAGUGUGUACAAAAAAAGGAUCGAAUUUAGGCUUCAAUUCCUUCAAAGCCUAGUUAGACUUAUCAAAUCCAAACCUUUUUUUUUGGAAAUAUCCAUGUAAGUUCACACUUUAUAUUUCCUAUUCUGGGAAUAUUGACUAAAGCUAGAUUACAAUUAAGGAACCUGAAUUUGAUUUCCCUUAACAACGGUCAAACACGACACUCGCCCUACACAGCAGCCGUUCCCUUCUACCAACCAAGAGUCAUCACUGACGUUUUUUAAUUACGGCGCCACUGUUUUUCUAUAUAAAACUCCCUCAUUAACGUACUCUUUCUGCAACUUGAACACAUACAUUGCCCAGUUCAGAUUUAACUUUGAUUGGAGUUCGAUUUCUAUACCUUGGAUAAGAAAACGAAAAUGGCAGAUCCUUCAUCCACGGGUGGACUCACUCUGUUCUCUCCUUACAAGAUGGGCAAGUUCAACCUCUCUCAUAGGUCAGAUACUCUUUGAUCAAUUAUACUAACUGUACAAUUUUGAAGAUUUAAGGCAUGAUUUUUAGGUUAAUAUUUGGAUGAUUUUGUUCUUUCUUUUACGUACAGAGUGGUGCUUGCGCCAAUGACGAGGAAUCGAGCGUUGAACGAACUUCCGCAGCCGGCGAUGGUCGAGUACUAUUCUCAGAGGUCAACCCCCGGUGGCUUUCUAAUCUCUGAAGGCACUUCGCCAUCAGACCAAAGCUUCGGGUAAUUUCGUAAUUCUCAAUGCUACACAAAUAUGAUAAUUUACAAAGCUUCAUUACCUUUCGACCAAAAACUGUAUAUUCGACUAAAAAUAAAUUAAAUAUACAAUAUAAGAAAUAUAUAAAAAUUAAUAUAUGUACUUGUAAAAAAACAGAAAUUUCAAGGAAAUAUCGAGCCUAGUUUAGUCCUGGACCUCAAACUAUAAAUUGAGUUCCCUGCUUUAAAAUCUGUUGGAUUUUGUUAGUGAGUUUGUUGUAUAUGGUGGGAGCAGGUUUCCACAUGUUCCUGGGAUUUACACCGAUGAACAAGUUGAGGCAUGGAAGAAGGUGGCUGAUGCUGUUCAUGCCAAAGGUGCCAUCAUUUUCUGUCAACUUUGGCAUGUAGGUCGUGCUUCUCAUCAAGGUAAUUAAUUCUGUCAGAUACAUAUAUGGCACUAUCAGUCUAUCACAGAGCUCUAUUUUGCAAAGAAAUCCUCAGCAGUGAACUGAUCAUUUUUCUACUUGUUAUUGUCAAAUGUUAUAGUUUUUCAACCAGGUGGGAGGUCGCCAAUUUCUUCAACCAGCAAUCCCAUCUCAAAGAAGUGGAAAGUUGCGUUGCCUGAUGGGUCUCAUGACGUUCACUCUGAACCUCGACGCCUCGAGACCCAAGAAAUACCCCAGAUUGUUGAGCAGUACCGUCAGGCUGCCUUGAAUGCCAUUCGAGCAGGUCAGUCUCAUUUCAUCACGUACUGGUUUAUUUUCAUAACGUGUACGCAUCACAUGCUCCGAAACACAAUGGCACAUUCUUUGAUCAUCGCGCAUACUAGAAGCUUUGAUCUUAUGAUGUAUCUUUGAUAAUGGACAGGUUUUGAUGGAGUUGAGAUCCAUUCGGCACAUGGCUACCUCAUCGAUCAAUUCUUGAAAGAUGGGGUCAAUGAUCGAACUGACGAGUACGGUGGCUCGCUUGCAAACCGCUGCAAGUUCUUGAUACAAACUGUUGAAGCAGUAGUUGAAUCCCUUGGUGCUGAUAGAGUUGCCGUCAGAAUCUCACCAGCUAUUGAUUUCUAUGAUGCUACAGACUCCGACCCGAUUGGCCUAGGCUUGGCAGUGAUUGAAAGACUCAACAAGCUUCAACAUAACAUAGGCUCAAAGCUCGCUUAUCUUCAUGUGACUCAGCCUCGAUUGACCACCAUUAUGACGCUGGCGCCGGCAGAGCUUGAUGAAGACAGAGAAGCUCAAUUUAUGAGGACUUUGCGGGAAGCUUAUGAAGGGGCGUUCAUGGCUAGUGGAGGGUUUACUAGGGAGCUAGGAAUGGAAACUGUGUCUUCUGGUGAUGCCGAUUUAGUGUCAUAUGGCCGGGAUUUUAUCUCAAACCCUGACUUGGUGUUGAGGUUUAGGCUGAAUGCUCCCUUGAACAAGUAUAAUAGGGAGACUUUCUACACCCAUGACCCUGUAGUUGGGUACACAGACUACCCUUUUCUAAACAUAGAAAGUUGAUAGAGGAUGACCACUACCCCGUUUGAUUUUGAUGCCGCUGAAAUUGUUAUUGUUCAAUAAAACCUUUUCAUAUAGAGAAAGUAAAAAUCAAAUAAAGAUCCAAGUAAACAUUUGUACCUAUGCAAAUAAGUUCUUUGCAGCUCCAGAUUCCCUACAAAUUAGUACUAAUGAAGCCCAAUCAAUAUUUGAAUUAUCAAUUAACUACAUUAUCAAAUACAUAAUGGUUGAUUUAAUAAUUACUCUGUUGAAAUGUUUUUAGUUGUUGAAGGAAAAGUCAUAAGAUGGUAUCUGCAUGUCAAGCUUAUACACUUGGAUAUGACAGAAUCCAAGUAGACAAAUGUUUUAGUAUGGCCGGGAUUUUAUCUCAAACCCUGACUUGGUGUUAAGGUUAAAGCUGAAUGCUCCCUUGAACAAGUAUAUUCAAGAGACUUUCUACACUGAUGACCCUGUAGUUGGGUACACAGACUACCUUUUUCUGAACAUAGAAAAUGUUUGAUUUUGAUGCUGCUAAAUUGUUCUUGUUAGUUAAACUUAAACCCUUCUCAUAUAGAGAAAUUGUGAUUUGAAUUUGAUGGAAUAGUGUGUACAAAAAAAGGAUCGCAUUUAGGCUUCAAUUCCUUCAAAGCCUAGUUAGACUUGUCAAAUCCAAAUAUUAUUAUUAUUAUUUUUUGGAAAUAUCCAUGUAAGUUCACACUUUAUAUUUCCUAUUCUGGGAUUAUUGACUAAGCUAGAUUACAAUUAAGGAACCUGAAUUUAACACGUCGUGGAGACACGCCCUAUUUGAUUACGAGCCCCCUCUAUAUAUUAGGCCCAGUUUGGGAACGAUUUUAAAACUGCUUUUGGGGUCAAAAGUGAUUCUGGGGCUAACCUGAGGUGUUUGGUAACCACCCGUAGAACUGAUUUUAGAGGAAUCGAUUAUCCUAAAAGCGGGUUUUAGAGAAGCAGGGCAAGAGGUGCUUUUGCGGGAAUCAAUUUCAGAAACACAGAAGGGUUAAAUGAAUCUUUCAUAAAUCCUAUUUUGCCCUUAUUCCUUUUUUAAGUCAUUGGUUAAGUCAUGUUUUAGUUCUCACAGCACUUUUAAAAACAGUUUACCAAACAUCUCAGCUAAUUCCUCUCACAGCAAUUCUAGAAGCAAUUCUUCUUACAGCAGUUCCAGAAGCAAUUCUUCUCACAGCACAGCUGUCCUAAACUGGGUCUUAGUCACCGACCACCACAGACCACACAACGCCUUCAGAAGUCAGAACAAUUCUACCAACCAAGAGUCAUCACUGAUGUCUUUUAAUUAGGGCGCCACUGUUUUUCUAUAUAAAACUCCCUCAUUAACCUUGGAUGAGAAAACGAAAAUGGCAGAUUCUUCAUCCACGGGUGGACUCACUCUGUUCUCUCCUUACAAGAUGGGAAAGUUCAACUUCUCUCAUAGGAUCAGGAUCCUCGCCUCGGCUAAUUUCAGCCUUGGUUAUCCUUGCCUUUUAUUCUUGUCCGUCCGACUGAAAUCUAACGCUUAUUAAUCAUCCACCUCAGCAAUUAACUAUUAAAUACCCUAAAAUUAGAAGUUCGAGGCUGACGACCGUCGUUAACUUUUUCUCUCCCGUUAUCUCCUCAAUUCCUCUUCGUCUUCUCCUAUUCUUUCUUUAUGCUGGAGUCCUCAACCUAUUCAAUCUUCCUGGUUAGAAGAAGGAUAUUCUACGGAUUAUCAGCAUCCCUAAUCUCUUGUGGUUUCAAAUUUCUAACCAACUAUGUUUCAACCCUUAUCAAUAUUCCAGAUUUUCUAGCACUUCUGGUUUCUUAUGGUUGAGGUUCAAAUGAGACUCAACAACCCCUGAGAGCAACUCCAUCAGUGGAGCUAAAAACAAAGACCACCCCUUGGAAAGAGAAAACCCAUCUCCAACGGACAAAAAGACAAGGAGCUGGAGUUGGAAUUUUAACACCCAGUGCCAUUUGAAGUCUUAUAUUCUGUGAUUUUCCAAGACCAGCCCCUAUGGGGCCCAUAUACAGCAGAUAUAUAUUUAUUGGAGACAGACUGACGUGCCCUGGAGGAGUUGUGACACAGACGCAUUAAUUCUUUCGUUGGGUGUGGAAGAAUGCGCCAUUGUUGGGCGUUGAAAUGGAAAAGCCUGAUGGAAGUGGCCUCACGUGACGCAAUUGGCCAUAUGACGCAGUCAAAGGUCUCCAAUGGCUAUGAAAUAAACGGAUGUGAUUAAUUAUCCAUUUAAAUUCAACAGCUGAGAUGAUUCAAACAUUUAUAUUUUUUUUUGACUCCAACGGAUAUAUACAUGAUCCAAAGGCUAUGAAUUUAUCAACAAAAAAAAAAGAUGGACGGUUGUGGAAUAAAACUUGCAAUUUAAAAUUCGUAUUUUUAUACAAAAAAUUACCAGAAAAUAUGUAAAAAAAUAUACCCGUUGGAACAGUGUUUUGGAGAAAACUCUAUAAAUACCAACCCAUUCUUUCAUAAUUCUUCACACCAAACAUCAUAUUUCCUUCUAAAUAUUUCAUUCCUUCACUCUUUUUGUUGUUCAAAGGUUUCAAGAGAAAAAAAUGGGUAAGAGGGGAGAUUCAUGGAGGCAUAAUGAAGAAGCUAUUCUUUGUGAAGUUUGGAUCACCGUCGGUGGUGAUGGUGCUACCGGAAUAAAUCAAAGUGCGGACACAUUGUGGGAGCGUGUUGCGGUGGAGUACAAUAAGAACAAACCGGCAAGUUGUAUGGAAAGAACAUCUUCUAGUGUUAACUCUCGUUGGAAGGUGAUAAAUCAAGCUUGUGGGACAAUUUGUGAAGUAUUGUGUCUGUGGCGACCUCGGAUUUCGAAUUGCUUGCACAAAUGAACCCCAUUUGGGGUAUAUGCCAUCAACUAGGUAAUAACAUUUGUUGUAAUGUCUAUUACCCACCUGGUAAAGAACUUCAGGGGUUUCACCAAGACACACAUCAUUGAACAAAAGAGAAUGUCCAAGUACGUUAAUAUCAUUUAGAGAACCUGGAAGUCCGAAAAAGGCAUGCCAAAUCCAAGUAUCGUAUGAUGCCACCGCCUCCAAGAUGAUAGUUGGUUUCCCCUUGUGGCCAGUAUAUUGCCCUGCCCAACCAGUGGGACAAUUUUUCCACCUCCAGUGCAUACAAUCAAGGCUCCCAAUCAUCCUUGGAAAUCCUCUAUCUGCAGCCUUGUCGAGCAGGCAUCGCAAAUCUACCGGUGUUGGUCGGCGGAGGUAUUACUCGUGGUACACAUUCCAUAUUGCUCUGGUGAAGUGCUCCAAGAUCUCGAUGGCAGUGGAUUUUGCAAUAUCCAUAUAAUCAUCAAAGAAGUCAGCUGUGAUCCCAUAUGCGAGUUGUCUCAUGGCGCAUGUCAGCUUUUGUUCAGUUGAUAGGCCGACUCUCCCGGUCGCAUCUCUUUUUUGAACAAAAUAUGAAUCGUAGUUGGCCACGUCGUGCAUCAUCCUGUCAAAGACCCAAGGUUGCAUUCGAUACCGCCUACGAAAUAUAUUUGGCUCAUACCUGCAUGAAUCUGUGAAGUAUUGAGCUUUAAGUCAUUGAUCCAUGAGCUCUCGAUCUCUAGCAUUAUAAGUACGACCUUCUGAAGAUCCACCCCAUUAUCUCUCCUCGUCUUCAUUGCUUUGAAUUUGCAAAGCAGCGGCGGCCAUCAUAUUGGAUCUUCGACGGUUUCUAUGGACAGCCUCUUCUUAAUCUUUUAAUAAAAAUUUUGUCAAACGAUUCAUUGCAGAAGAAGUUUGACAAAAUAGAUAGGAAAACAAUAUGGGGGGUUUGUAGGAUUUGGAUAUGAGAAGUGUUUGUGAAUUUGUGAGAGAUGAGGAUGACGCUAACCUCAUAUUUAUGGACGAUUUGGGAUGAUAUGAAUGGAUAAGAUAUGACACAUGUCAAACACAUACAACCCGGAAUCUGGAUAGCCCAGUAGAAUUUUGAAACGUGGCGACAAAAAUCACAUUGAAAUUGGGUUGUUUGUCGUAUAUGCCGACAUAACACAUCAAAUAUCUACAAAAUAGUGGCAAUGUUGUCAUAUAUGCCGACAAAACUCCAUAAAAGACUUAACAUGUAUAUAUAAUUUUUUUAAAAUAUUAUAUUAAAUGAUAAGAAUAAUUCAAAAUAUUAAGAAAAAAACAAAAAAUUAUUUUUACUAUUUUUAAUUAAAUUAACAUAUUAUUUAAUAUAAUAUUUAUUAACAUUAUACUCAAAUUAUAUUUUAAUCAAAAAUAUUGAGAAUAACACCUCCAUAUAGCACCUUAUUGUUGAAGAAGGAAAAUGAGUGAAAUAUGAAUAGUGCUACAAGGAGGUGCUAAAACGAGAAUAGCACCUCCAAAUAGCACUUGUUGUUGGAGUUGCUCUGAGAGAUCUCGAUCUCUUUCUUCGGACCCAACCGGAAUUCAACUGUUCGUCCUGGCUACUCAUUCUCCCUUUUUCCUUCUCCUUUCUCCCUUGCAAAUACCAUGCAGCGCUGCACAAUAGACAUACACAUCAAUUUGUCCGAAUUGGUUCUGUGUUUGGGUCGAACCCAGAACAAAACCAGAAAAUAAAUCAACUUUCCAAUUCACAAUGUAUCAAACGGACCCAAUACAAAUUCCGGGUAAAAAUAACAACCGGACUCCGGCAAAAGCCAAUACAAUCAUAAGUAUGGAGACAAAUCAAACCAAUGAUUCAUUUCUUCUUCUUUUUUGUGACAGGAAGAACAAAUUAUUUGUAAAAGAACUAAGAAAGAAAAACUUACAUAAUAAUAAACCCAGGAAAAAAAAAUAGAUCUGAACAAUAAAAUUGAACCUUGAGUUUCUUUGAUCUUUGUUAUUUUUUUGUGUGCUUUUUCGCUCGAGCAAUUCAUGAAGGUGGAGAAAUUAGGAAGAGAUAACUAUGAUUAUCAACUUAAUCAUGGAUUCUUUUGGCCGAAUAAUGAAUGAAAAAGAAUAGUUAUUCAUAGAUCGUUGUAACAGAAAAGAACAGAAAGACAAAAAUAAGAGAAGAAAGAGAUGGACGAUGAGAAGCAGAGCCGGCCCUGGGGCGGUCAAGGCAGCGCCGCCGCACAGGGCCCCCGGCCGNNNNNNNNNNNNNNNNNNNNUUUUGGUUUGAUUGAUGUUCCUCAUCUCUCUGCUCUGUUUCCUCCUGGUACUCAUACAGUCAUACUUCCUAUCUUCAUCUUCAAAUUUCUCAACUCCUUUCUCUUAAUUGGCUUUGUUUAUACACUCAAACUCUCUUGUUCUAUUCCCACACAAUAAAUUUAACAACUUGUUCUUUGUAUUGGUUUGUAAAUUUAGAAGCAAAGGAAGGGAGCUUGGAGGUUUGAAAGCAAUUGAGGCUGGGGCUUCAAAAUGGAAGGGCAGGAAGGCCUCAAGAGGUCCCAAUUUUCAAGCAGGUUAGUUGGUUAUUGUUUUGUUUCAAGCCAAAUUGAUUAUGAUCGAAUUUAGGAUUUUAAGUUCAGAUUUUCUUACUUGUAUUACAGUGUUAGUAAGAGAGCAGAUUAAAGAUUGAAAGAUUAAUUGAAUGUUAUGUGUAAGUGAGAUUCAAGAACAAGCAUUUGGUAUGAUCUCUAAACUUUGUUUGUACGUUUAUCUUUGUUUCCUACAGAGAAUUUGGAAUGUCUCGUACUAGGAAACAUCCUGCUUUAGCAAGAAGAUAUCCUUCUGGACAUCAGAAGCGUAAAAAAAGAAGCAAAAUAGAAAAAUUUGUAGAGUCUCAGAGUGGGGCAAUGGAUCAAUUUGUUGAAAUAAUACCGGGAAAUCCGUCACUUAAAGAUUUAGCUAAUGAAGAAAAAAAUGUUGGUGAUGAAUUAGAUGAUGGGUUAGCCUUGGAAAAUAAUGUGCAGGAAGAUAAGAAUGAGAAUGGAGGCAAUCAAAUUGAUGAUGGCUUGCACUCUGAAAAUGUUGAUGACCAGGAAGAUGAGAAUGAGGUUGGAGGCAAUCCAAUUGAUGGUAGCUUAGACUUUCACAAUGUUGAUGACCAAGGAGAUGAGAAUGAGGUUGGAGGCAAUCAAAUUGAUAAUGCCUCUGGUUUUGAAAAUGCUGAUGACAAGGAAGAUGGCAAUCAAGUUGAUGAUGGGAUAAACUUUGAUCAUGUAAGUGGUGAUGCCAAUGACAUUGGUCCCUCUGAAACUGAUGAUGAUGUGGUUAGUGUAGUGAACGAAGAACCAAGUUCAUCUCUUCCGGUUGACAUAUUUGAUCCAAGAAACUGGGAGGAUUUAGAUCUUAAAUGGAAGGAUCUGCUAGUGGAAAAAGGUCCUAUAAGAGAUGUCCUUACAGGGAAAGGUCCCAAAAAUAAAUCAAAACGGUGUUUCUCCUCAGACUUCUACACUCGGAUUUUACCAAACGGUCAAAAGCACCAUAGAGAUUGGUUGGUAUAUUCGAAAACACUUGACAAAGCAUUUUGUUUUUGUUGCAAAUUGUUUAAAAGGGGGCCUCAACCAAGUCAACUAGCAAAUGAGGGAUACUAUGAUUGGGGACAUGUUAGUGGCAGACUUAAAGAACAUGAGACAAGUGCUGAGCAUGUCAAUUACUAUGCUAGUUGGUGUGAGUUGCGUAUCAGAUUAGAGAAAGGUACAACAAUUGAUCAUGGUAUUCAAGAACAAAUCAAGAAGUCAAAAGUGCAUUGGAGGAUGGUGUUAUGUCGAUUAGUUUCUAUUGUGAAAUUUUUGGCUAAACAGAACUUAGCAUUUCGUGGUAGUAAAGAGAAGCUUUUUGAGGAUAGCAAUGGGAAUUUCAUGGCUGCGGUUAAAAUGAUUGCUGAGUGGGACUUGGUGAUGAAGGAGCACAUUGAGAAAAAGGUACAUCAUCAUUAUCUUAGCCACAAAAUUCAGAACAAGUUGAUAUGUUUGCUAGCUUAUGAAAUCAAGAGUUCUAUUCUUAAAAAAAUUAAAGAAGCUAAGUUCUUUUCUGUGAUACUUGAUUGUACUCCUGAUGUUAGCAACCAAGAGCAGAUGACUUUGGUUAUAAGAUGUGUUGAUGUGUCUACAGGUCCGAUAAAAGUAGAAGAAUACUUUCUAGGAUUUUUGAAAGUGGAUGAUACAACAGGUCAAGGCUUGUUUGAAGAGCUGCAGAAUGUGUUGAAAAGUUUUGGUCUUGAUAUUGAUGAUGUGAGAGGGCAGGGAUAUGAUAAUGGGGCAAAUAUGAGAGGGAAACACCAAGGUGUACAAAGAAGACUGUUGGAUAUAAAUCCUAGAGCAUUAUACACCCCAUGUGGCUGUCAUUCUUUGAAUUUAACUCUUUGUGACAUUGCAAACUCAUGUGAAAAAGCGAAAGACUUUUUUGGAGUAAUACAACGGAUUUAUACAAUAUUUGCUCAUUCUACAAAGAGGUGGAAGAUGUUGGUAGACCAUGUAACGGUAAAAGGGUUAACUCUCAAAUCAUUGUCCACCACUCGAUGGGAAAGUCGUAUUGAGAGUGUGAAAGCCAUAGUACUUCAAGCUCCACAAGUCAGAGAAGCUUUACUUGAACUUGCAGAAGAAAGAGAUACCGACUCCAAAAUAAGAAGUGAAGCUAAGUCUUUGGCUACAUUUGAACUUGGAAAAUUUGAGUUUUUAUUGGGCAUGGUUAUUUGGUAUGACAUUUUGGGCAAGGUCAACAUAGUUAGUAAAUCCUUACAAUCUGAAAACAUGCUUAUUGACAUUGCUAUGACCAAGAUUAAGGGGCUUAUUGCUUCAUUUGAAGAGUACAGAGAAACCAGAUUCAGACAAGGCAUCAAUACUGCAAAAGAACUUGCUUCAUCAAUGAAGAUUGAUCCUAUUUUUCCUGACAAGAGACAUAUAUAUAGAAAGAGAAAAUUUGAUGAGCUUUCAGGUGAGUCUUCUCAAACACCUCAAGAAUCUGCUGAGGAAGCUUUUAGAAUUCAUUAUUUCUUAUACAUAGUUGAUCAAACAAUUGGAUCAUUGAAGAAAAGGUUUGAGGAAUAUGAAGAUCUUUUUGGAUUCCUUUUUACAUCUGAUAAGUUGAAUUCAUUGGUUGAUGAGGAUUUGAAGGCUCGUUGCAAGAAUCUUGAAAGGAAGCUACAAAGAAAAGAGGGCUCGGGACAAGCUGAUUCAGAUUUGGAUGGAGAUGAACUAUAUCAAGAAUUAAAGAUCAUACAACAUCAUCUACCAAAAGAAACAAAAACAGCAGGUGCAAUACUAAACUUUUUACAAAGAAUGAAUUGUUUCCCCAAUGCAUUCAUUGCAUACAAGAUAUUAUUGACUGUUCCAGUGACCGUGGCAUCUGCAGAGAGAAGUUUUUCUAAAUUGAAGUUGCUAAAAUCUUGUUUGAGAUCAACCAUGACUCAAACAAGAUUGAAUGCAUUANNNNNNNNNNNNNNNNNNNNNNNNNNNNNNNNNNNNNNNNNNNNNNNNNNNNNNNNNNNNNNNNNNNNNNNNNNNNNNNNNNNNNNNNNUUGAUUAUGAAAAAUUGAUUGAUGACUUUGCUGAUAAGAGUGCAAGAAGAUCAAUUUUUCAUAGCUAAUUGUAUCUGUUGUUUCUUCUUUUAUUAGUGGACUAUUUUUUUUACGUCGUUAAUAUAUAUAAUCAGUGUUCUUUCAAAUUUUUUUUUCUUAACACAAAGGGCCCCAAUUUUUUUCUCGCACCGGGUCCUUCAAAACAUUGGACCGGCCCUGAUGAGAAGGUAAUAAGAAACUGAACAAAAACAGUAGCAGAAGAAAGAGGAAGACGAUGAGAAGGAGAAGAGACUAAGAAGUAAACGUCUACGCAAACGUUGUUUGUCAUUUAAUAUUAGAUUUAAUGAUGUUUAUUUCUUGUUCGGUGAUGUGUCACAAUUUAGUCCCUUGGAUAUCACAUGGACGAUUCAGUUGAAAGACAAGGACAGACAAGGAUAGACUAUAGCCAAGGAGAGGAUCUUGAUCCUCUCUCAUAGGUAAGCCUUGCUUUCGCAUUUCGUUAGAGACUGUUUGAUUCAACUAUAUUACAUGUAGCAUUUUGAUGAUUUACCCAAUGAAUUUAGAUUAAUAUUUUGAUGAAUUUGUUCUUACGUAGAGUGGUGCUUGCGCCAAUGACGAGGUGUCGAGCGUUGAACGAACUUCCGCAACCGGCGAUGGUCGAGUACUAUUCUCAGAAGUCAACCCCCGGUGGCUUUCUAAUCUCUGAAGGCACUUCGCCAUCCGACCAAAGCGCCGGGUAAUUUCAUUAUUUCUCAUUGCUAGCUACACAUAUGAUAAAUAAAUUACAAGAUUUCGCCUUGGUUUUACACAACCAAAACUUAUACAUUCGAGUAAAAAUAAACUGAAUAUACAAUAUCAGAAAGGUAUAAUAAUUAAUAUCAAUCUUAUAGAAAAACAAAAGUUUUGAGGAAUUAUCAAAAACAUCAAGAUCUAAAGCAAGAAAUUUUGAGGAAUUAUUUUCCGAUAAAUAAUCAAUAUUGGAAAGAUAUAGUAUUUUAGUCCUUGCUUUGGACCUCGAAGCAAGAAGAACAGGUUGAGGCAUGGAAGAAUGUGGUCGAUGUUGUUCAUGCCAAAGGUGCCAUCAUUUUCUGUCAACUUUGGCACGUAGGUCGUGCUUCUCAUCAAGGUAAUUUUGUCGCAUAUAUACAUGGCACUAUUGCAGAGCUCUAUUUUGUAAAAGAAAUCCUUAGCAGUGAACUGAUCAUUUUCCUACCUGUUAUAGGUCAAAUGUUAUAGUUCUUCAACGAGGUGGGGGGUCGCCAAUUUCUUCAACCAGCAAUGCCAUCUCAAAGAGGUGGAAAGUUCUGUUGCCUGAUGGGUCUCAUGACGCUUACCCUGAACCUCGACGACUCGAGACCCAUGAAAUACCCCAGAUUGUUGAGCAGUACCGUCAGGCUGCUCUGAAUGCCAUUCGAGCAGGUCGGUCUUAUUUUCAUCACAUAAUGGUUCCUUUUCAUAACGUGUAUGUAAUCUCACACUCUCAAUUCCCAAAUGGUAUUGUUAGAAUGUAUCACGGAUAUUUGACAACAUCACAUGCUCAGAAACACAAUGGUACAUUAUUCGUCGCGCAUACUAGAAGCUUUGAUUUUAUGAUGCAUCUUUAAUUCCCAUGGACAGGUUUUGAUGGAAUUGAGAUCCAUGGGGCACAUGGCUACCUCAUCGAUCAAUUCUUGAAAGAUGGGAUCAAUGAUCGAACUGAUGAGUACGGUGGCUCACUUGCAAACCGCUGCAAGUUCUUGAUCCAAAUUGUUGAAGCAGUAGUUGAAGCCCUUGGUGCUGAUAGAGUUGCCGUCAGAAUCUCACCAGCUAUUGAUUUCUAUGAUGCUACAGACUCCGACCCGAUUGGCCUAGGCUUGGCAGUGAUUGAAAGACUCAACAAGCUUCAACAUAACAUAGGCUCAAAGCUCGCUUAUCUUCAUGUGACUCAGCCUCGUUUCACCACCAUUAUGGCGCCGGCAGAGCUUGAUGAAGACAAAGAAGCUCACUUUAUGAGGACUUUGCGAGAAGCUUAUGAAGGAACAUUCAUGGCUAGUGGAGGGUUUACUAGGGAGCUAGGAAUGGAAACCGUGGCUUCUGGUGAUGCCGAUUUAGUUUCAUAUGGCCGGUAUUUUAUCUCAAACCCUGACUUGGUAUUGAGGUUAAGGCUGAAUAUUGCUCCCUUGAACAAGUAUAAUAGGGAGACUUUCUACACCCAUGACCCUGUAGUUUGGUACACAGACUACCCUUUUCUGAACAGAGAAAGUUUGAUAGAGGAUGACCACUAGGACUACCCCGUUUGAUUUUGAUGGUGCUGACCUUCUCUUAUAGAGAAUUGUGAUUUGAAUGUGAUGGGAUAAGUCAUAAGUGUGUAUGUUGAAACUACAAAGUACGUUCUACAAAGUAAAAAUCAAACAAAGAUCCAAGCAAAUAUUUGUACCUAUGCAAAUAAGUUCUUUGCAGCUCCAAAUACCCUAUUAAUUAGUACUCAUGAAUUAUAGAAGCACAAUCAAUAUUUGAAUUAUCAAUUAACUACAUUAAUUAUCAAAAACUCAAUGGUUGAUUUAACAUGCAACUCUGUCGAAAUGUUUCUAGCCGUUGAAGGAAAAGUCAUAAGAUGGUAUCUGUCAAGCUUGUAUACUUGGAGAUGACAAAAUUCAGGCGGAGAGAUCAUAUGUUUUAGUCAUUUAGUGACAUAAAUGAUGGUACUCUGGUGUUCAUUUUGUUUUUUGUGUGGCUUCAACUUCUACUCCUAUAUAUUGAAAGAAACAUGUUAAGCUAAAGUUUCUUUAUGAUAGAAUAUAUAAUAUAUAUCACUGCUACCUCAUAUUUAUCACCUGAAUACGUCGACGUCAAUAAAUCACUGCAUGUGGCUCAGUGGUUAUUGUGUAGUUAGCUGUGUUCUCCAAUCUAGGUUUGAACUUUAAAGCUGUUAAAGUGGUUAGACAUUAUGUUGCAACGCAUAUUUAAAGCAUUUCAUACGCGUCGAUGAAUUAACUUUCUAAGCCUACGAAUACGCAUGUAACACCCUAAUACCAAUACAUAAUUAGAGCAUUUCACAGACGCCGAUGAAAUAAUUAUAUGUCUAAUUUAUAGGCGAAAGACGGUCUUUGAGGUAUCCAAACACUCGCAAAAGAAAAAAAAAACAUCACAUCAUACUAUGGUGUCAAAAAAGGAACCAAUAUUAAACUAAGGCCACAUGAACCAAUAACAAGGUUUAAUUCGAGCAUUAACAAUUUUAAUAGCAUUUCCAGGCGAUCAAUUUAGGUCCUCAACCCAAACAAGAAAAAAAAAAAAGUAAUUGAAUCAAUGCUUCAACGCCUGGUUAGACUAAUCAAAUCCAAACCCGUUUCAAAUUCACAAAUCACAACUGGAUGUUCACAAACGCUCCCGCGUAGAAAUAUAAAAUAUUACACCGGUCAAACACGCCGUAGUCUGACCUUCCAUUUUACAUUUUCCAAAACAAACGAGGUCGGAGAUCCACAAAAACAAUUCGCACGCAAAUAACACUUCCCCUCUUCGAUUACGACCCGCGCCUCUAUUAGUCACCGACCACCACAUAAAACGCCUUCAGACUCACCAGAACAACCAAGAGUCAUCACUGACGUUUUAGGGCACCACUGUUUUGAGUUUUCCUAUAUAAACCUCCCUCAUCAACUCUUUCUACAACCUGAACACAUUGCCCUGCUCAGGUUUUUUUAGAUAAGAAAACGAAAAUGGCAGAUUCUUCAUCCACGGGACUCACCCUGUUCUCUCCUUACAAGAUGGGCAUGUUCAACCUCUCUCAUAGGUCAGUCACCCUUUUGCUACAUGUUACAUUUUGAAGAUUUACGCAAUGAUUUUUGGAUUAAUAUUUGGAUGAAUUUGCUCUUUCUAUUACAGAGUGGUACUUGCGCCAAUGACGAGGUGUCGAGCGUUGAACGAACUUCCGCAGCCGGCGCUGGUGGAGUACUAUUCUCAGAGGGCAACCCCCGGUGGCUUUCUAAUCACUGAAGGCACUUCGCCGUCCGACCAAAGCGCCGGGUAAUUUCGUAAUUCUCAGUGUUACCCUAUUAUGAUAAAUUACAAGACUUCAUUGCCUUUACUCGAUCUUUGGACCUCGAACUCUUUAGUCCCAUGCUUUAAACGAGUUAAAGAUUUUCUUACUUUGUUGUAUAUGAUGGAAGCAGGUUUCCACAUGUUCCUGGGAUUUACACCGAUGAACAAGUUGAGGCAUGGAAGAAGGUGGUCGAUGCUGUUCACGCCAAAGGUGCCAUCAUUUUCUGUCAACUUUGGCAUGUAGGUCGUGCUUCUCAUCAAGGUAAUUUUGUCACAUAUAUACAUGUUAUAGCUCUAAUUUGCACAAAGAAUUCCUCAGCAGUGAACUGAUCAUUUUUCUACUUCUUAUUCUUCUAAUGUUAUAGUUCUUCAACGAGGUGGGGGGUCACCAAUUUCUUCAACCAGCAAUGCCAUCUCAAAGAGGUGGAAAGUUCUGUUGCCUGAUGGGUCUCAUGACGCUUACCCUGAACCUCGACGACUCGAGACCCAUGAAAUACCCCAGAUUGUUGAGCAGUACCGUCAGGCUGCCC